This 541-nucleotide ribosomal RNA is filed under the name Cryptosporidium sp. deer genotype. RNAcentral's name for it is "SSU rRNA". It matches the Rfam family "Eukaryotic small subunit ribosomal RNA", at positions 313 to 892 of the family's 1831-position model. Lineage: Eukaryota; Apicomplexa; Conoidasida; Eucoccidiorida; Cryptosporidiidae. The record is from RNAcentral.
UAUCAGCUUUAGACGGUAGGGUAUUGGCCUACCGUGGCUAUGACGGGUAACGGGGAAUUAGGGUUCGAUUCCGGAGAGGGAGCCUGAGAAACGGCUACCACAUCUAAGGAAGGCAGCAGGCGCGCAAAUUACCCAAUCCUAAUACAGGGAGGUAGUGACAAGAAAUAACAAUACAGGACCUUACGGUUUUGUAAUUGGAAUGAGUUAAGUAUAAACCCCUUAACAAGUAUCAAUUGGAGGGCAAGUCUGGUGCCAGCAGCCGCGGUAAUUCCAGCUCCAAUAGCGUAUAUUAAAGUUGUUGCAGUUAAAAAGCUCGUAGUUAAUUUUCUGUUAAUUUUUAUAUACAAUACUACGGUAUUUAUAUAAUAUUAACAUAAUUCAUAUUACUUUUUAGUAUAUGAAACUUUACUUUGAGAAAAUUAGAGUGCUUAAAGCAGGCUAUUGCCUUGAAUACUCCAGCAUGGAAUAAUAUUAAGGAUUUUUAUUCUUCUUAUUGGUUCUAGAAUAAAAAUAAUGAUUAAUAGGGACAGUUGGGGGCAUU